CCUACGGGAGGCAGCAGUGGGGAAUAUUGGACAAUGGGCGAAAGCCUGAUCCAGCCAUGCCGCGUGUGUGAAGAAGGCCUUCGGGUUGUAAAGCACUUUCAGUGGGGAAGAAAGCCUUGGGGCUAAUACCCUCGAGGAAGGACAUCACCCACAGAAGAAGCACCGGCUAACUCCGUGCCAGCAGCCGCGGUAAUACGGAGGGUGCGAGCGUUAAUCGGAAUUACUGGGCGUAAAGCGCGCGUAGGCGGUCUGAUAAGCCGGUUGUGAAAGCCCCGGGCUCAACCUGGGAACGGCAUCCGGAACUGUCAGGCUAGAGUGCAGGAGAGGAAGGUAGAAUUCCCGGUGUAGCGGUGAAAUGCGUAGAGAUCGGGAGGAAUACCAGUGGCGAAGGCGGCCUUCUGGACUGACACUGACGCUGAGGUGCGAAAGCGUGGGUAGCAAACAGGAUUAGAUACCUGUAGUC
RNAcentral lists this ribosomal RNA (463 nucleotides) under Vreelandella stevensii. Its description in RNAcentral is "partial 16S ribosomal RNA". It matches the Rfam family "Bacterial small subunit ribosomal RNA", at positions 338 to 795 of the family's 1533-position model. Lineage: Bacteria; Pseudomonadati; Pseudomonadota; Gammaproteobacteria; Oceanospirillales; Halomonadaceae. The record is from RNAcentral.